Molecule: ribosomal RNA, 407 nt
Filed under: uncultured bacterium
Lineage: Bacteria
Description: partial 16S ribosomal RNA
Rfam family: Bacterial small subunit ribosomal RNA
Source: RNAcentral
AAUAUUGCGCAAUGGAGGGAACUCUGACGCAGCGACGCCGCGUGAGCGAUGAAGGUCUUCGGAUCGUAAAGCUCUGUCCUUGGGGAAGAAGGUCUUCGGACUUGACGGUACCUAAGGAGGAAGCCCCGGCUAACUACGUGCCAGCAGCCGCGGUAAUACAGAGGGUGCAAGCGUUAACCGGAAUUACUGGGCGUAAAGCGCGCGUAGGUGGUUCAGUAAGAUGAGUGUGAAAUCCCCGGGCUUAACCUGGGAACUGCUUUCAUAACUGCUGAGCUAGAGUACGGUAGAGGGUAGUGGAAUUUCCUGUGUAGCGGUGAAAUGCGUAGAGAUUAGGAGGAACACCAGUGGCGAAGGCGACUUUCUGGACUGUAACUGACGCUGAGGUACGAAAGCGUGGGUAGCGAACA